UAAAAUGACCACUAGCAGUGUUCUUUUAUUUUGAUGAUCCUGUUUCCUACUUCGAUUUUAUGUGACUUUUAUUUUGACGUCAUACUAUCUGCUCACGUGAUUAAUCGCUCGCGCUCACAUUUGUUCAAUAGAAGACACGAGAAGCUAGCUAGCAACUAAAUAAGUUAAGCUAAUGGCGGCGGACUUCCCUGGAUCACCACUUUAUAGCAGCCUUCGAUAUGCGGAGCGAGUUGUCACGGUGCUGGUGCUAUGCACACUCAUCUGAAUGAAAGUACACCCGUCUGGAAACACUCCCAAGCCUGUUUCUUCCAAGUUGAAGGGACGCUAAAGUGAUCUAGAUCCUUUUUAUAGCUGCUAUUUAUUUUCUCUGCCUUGGAGAUCCAGUCUCACUAACAAAGACUACAAAUCCCAUGAAACCCUGCAACUGUGUCCUGUGUUCUGCCGGGUCGUGACAGGCUUCCUCAAAUUCGUUUUUAUCAGAAAAAUUCCAGUUGUCAUUAUUUACCCAUGAAA
Non-coding RNA from Gasterosteus aculeatus aculeatus (three-spined stickleback), 513 nucleotides. NCBI's taxonomy places the organism in Eukaryota, Metazoa, Chordata, Actinopteri, Perciformes, Gasterosteidae. The record is from RefSeq and is a predicted model, not a curated record.